UGGGGAAUAUUGCACAAUGGAGGAAACUCUGAUGCAGCAACGCCGCGUGGAGGAUGACGCAUUUCGGUGUGUAAACUCCUUUUAUAUGGGAAGAUAAUGACGGUACCAUAUGAAUAAGCACCGGCUAACUCCGUGCCAGCAGCCGCGGUAAUACGGAGGGUGCAAGCGUUACUCGGAAUCACUGGGCGUAAAGCGCAUGCAGGCGGUUUAAUAAGUUGGAAGUGAAAGCCUAUGGCUCAACCAUAGAACUGCUUCCAAAACUGUUAGACUAGAGUCUGGGAGGGGAAGAUGGAAUUAGUAGUGUAGGGGUAAAAUCCGUAGAGAUUACUAGGAAUACCAAAAGCGAAGGCGAUCUUCUGGAACAGUACUGACGCUGAGAUGCGAAAGCGUGGGGAGCAAACA
Molecule: ribosomal RNA, 402 nt
Filed under: uncultured Campylobacterota bacterium
Lineage: Bacteria; Pseudomonadati; Campylobacterota
Description: bacterial SSU rRNA
Rfam family: Bacterial small subunit ribosomal RNA
Source: RNAcentral